AAGAACAAAAGAGUCGCCGUCGUCUUCACAGAUCGGGAGAGGGAAGAAUCGAGUGAUCAAGCAGCGAACGGAGGUGGUCUCGGUGGUGGUAAUCGAUCGGAAUAAGUGAGCAUCUCCAGUGUUUGGCCGAACCAAAGGAAGGAAGGAAGGAAGGCACGAGGCCGCGGCUCUGCAUCCAGUCCUUGCUCGUCGUAGACCACAAAGAAGACCGAAGGAGGAUGAAGCUCGCAGGCGGCACUUCGUCAGUCGAUUCGUGAAGAGGGUGUAGUCUCCGGAUCGACGAGACAGAAGAGACGGAGGGCGUGAAGAAGCAGCGAAGUUUUGCUGGUCUCUUCCGGCUGCGAGGUGUGAGUCGUUGGUCUUGGUGGGUGCUUUGCUCCAGUCCUUGCUCGUCGUAGACCACAAAGAAGACCGAAGGAGAAUGAAGCUCGCAGGCUGCACUUCGUCGGUCGAUUAGCGUAGAAGGAGGAGUCUCCGGAUCGAUGAGACAGAAGACACGGACGGCGUAAAGAAGCAACGAAGUUUUGCUCGUCUCUUCCGGUUGCGAGGUGUGAGUCGUCGGUCUUGGUGGGUGCUUUGCUCCAGUCGAUAGAAUAUGAGUGGAGGGGGUGUUCGGUGGUCACGCGGCCACGAGGAUGGGAGGCGAUCGGUCGUUGGGUGGGAGAAGCACCUCCGGUGCUUCACUGUUUCGCAGAGGAGAAAACGAAAACAACAAUGGUAAAGAUUCGAUCGGUAAAGAUUCUCUUCUCUUUUCUUUUUAUUUUUGACUGUAAAUCAAUAAAGUUUAAUCAAUAGGUUUAGAUGGGUGUUUGGGUUUGGUUGUUUAACAGAAAUUGAUAGAGAGAAAAAGAACAACGAAAAUUCCUUUUUCUUUGUUUGUUUUGAUAGAAACUGAUGAAGGAAUGGACAUUUGGGUGUUGAUGUUUUACAGUGAAUCGAUGGGUGAUGGAGGGAAGAGCUCCGACAGCAGCAUAAGCAGUGAUUGAAGGGCUGUCCGGCUGGUUCGUUUGACAGGUAGCAAGGAGGAAAAAAGGGGUUGUUCCCCCUUUUUUACCGGAAAUAGCAACACACCCCCGGUGUGUUCUUGGCAGCCCACAAAUCAGAAAAGAAAGAGAGAAUGAGCAGGGAGUGUUGUGAGGGACGAGUGACGCAACAAUGGAAAUAAUCUUGAUCAGAUUUUUGGGAGAUUUUUUUUUUUUGUAUUUCAAAAUCUUGAAAUUGAUCUUAGAGUACUUAGCAUUAUUGGUUUGAAUUCGUGCAUGGGUGUUUGUGUAUGUGGCAGAAUCGACAGUGGGUAGGGGAAUUUGAGAGAAGGAAGUAGCUUCAAUAUGAUGCUUGGUUGACUUUCAAAAGUCAAGGUCUUUCUUUGACUUUUUAGGGAGAUAAUGUGUUUUAAGUAUGGGUGAUGCUAAUAAGACACCCCUUAGUAGGGGUGAGCGCGGUGCGGUUCGGUGCGGUUAUUAGUCAAAACCUCACCACUAACCGCAAAUGCGGUUAAUCCAUUUUCAAAACCGCAUGGUGCGGUUAUUUUUGCGGUGCGGUUAGGCGGUUAUUUUUGCGGUGCGGUUUUGUUUUUUCUGUGUUGCGGUUAUUAACCGCAUGGAUUUGGUGCAGUUAUUUUGUGUGGUUUUUAACCACAGUUUAGAUUUCAAAUAGUUUUAAGAGUUCAAACAUAUUACUUGUAAUAAUAAUAAAAACCAUAAGGUAUAA
This 1710-nucleotide long non-coding RNA is filed under the name Lactuca sativa (garden lettuce). RNAcentral describes it as "long non-coding RNA (LSAT_LNC007024)". Lineage: Eukaryota; Viridiplantae; Streptophyta; Magnoliopsida; Asterales; Asteraceae. The record is from RNAcentral.